AAGACCCUAAAAAUCCCAAAGAAAUCAGGCGGGAUAAGAGGCGAAAAGUUUGUGGGGGACCAAACCAGAGGAAUGCGACAGAAGAAAAAUGGGGGAGAAAGGGCACCUAAAUGGCAAGAAGAGAAAUGAAAGUUUCGGGACUAACCUAGAUCGCUCCGAGGGAUGCAAAGGGGCGAGGACAGGGAUGACUCGAAGAAUGCUUGGGACCAAGGUGGAUGCCAAAGAGGGUCAGAGCUCUCAGAGAGAAGGCAGACACCAACAGAACUCUCA
This 270-nucleotide long non-coding RNA is filed under the name Elaeis guineensis (African oil palm). RNAcentral's name for it is "long non-coding RNA (EGUI_LNC082479)". Lineage: Eukaryota; Viridiplantae; Streptophyta; Magnoliopsida; Arecales; Arecaceae. The record is from RNAcentral.